This 66-nucleotide transfer RNA is filed under the name Cryptonome barbada. RNAcentral describes it as "tRNA-Val". The record is from RNAcentral. Lineage: Eukaryota; Metazoa; Annelida; Polychaeta; Eunicida; Amphinomidae.
CGAAGUAUAGCAUUUUACAUGCUUUCCGCUUACACCGGAACUAUAGUUCCCCAGAACUUACUUUGA